CCGGAUUAGCUUUAAUGGGCUUAGGUGGGACUCGCUCGGAUUACACGCCUCCUUACGAGUUCUUAACGAAGAACCCCAAUUUUGGGCGGACUCGUAAGCCCGGAGAGAAAACCGCGAGGAUCCCCAACGUCCUGCUCGUCCUCAUCUCUGCGAGGAUCCCCAACGUCCCUCGUCCUGCUCGUCGCUCGUCGUCGACCUUGCCCUGCUUCCUCGUCGUCCUCCUCCUCACCCUCAUCUCUGCGUCUUCUCGCCCUCAUCUGGUCGGAGACAGUCUGAGAAGAGGAGCAUAAACGGAAGGAUAAGGCUGAGACUACCGCUUCACAGUUACUUGUUUCAGAAUUCUUUGUAUAGCG
This is a non-coding RNA of Malus domestica (apple), 353 nucleotides long. The record is from RefSeq and is a predicted model, not a curated record. Lineage: Eukaryota; Viridiplantae; Streptophyta; Magnoliopsida; Rosales; Rosaceae.